This 486-nucleotide ribosomal RNA is filed under the name uncultured Candidatus Saccharibacteria bacterium. RNAcentral describes it as "bacterial SSU rRNA". It matches the Rfam family "Bacterial small subunit ribosomal RNA", at positions 8 to 491 of the family's 1533-position model. Lineage: Bacteria; Candidatus Saccharimonadota. The record is from RNAcentral.
AGAGUUUGAUCAUGGCUCAGGAUGAACGCUGGCGGCGUGCCUAAUACAUGCAAGUCGUGCGGCAGCGAGCUUUGCACGGUCUACUGGAGUUAACCUCAAGUGUACCGUGCAGAGUGUCGGCGAGCGGCGGACGGCUGAGUAACGCGUGGGAACGUGCCCCAAAGUGAGGAAUAACUGCCCGAAAGGGUAGCUAAUGCCGCAUAUGGUCUUCGGAUUAAAGCUUUCGAGCGCUUUGGGAGCGGCCCGCGUCUGAUUAGAUAGUUGGUGAGGUAAUGGCUCACCAAGUCGACGAUCAGUAGCUGGUCUGAGAGGAUGAUCAGCCAGACUGGAACUGAGACACGGUCCAGACUCCUACGGGAGGCAGCAGUAAGGAAUCUUCCACAAUGGGGGCAACCCUGAUGGAGCAACGCCGCGUGAAGGAUGAAGGCCUUAGGGUCGUAAACUUCUUUUGUUAGCGAAGAAUAUGACGGUAACUAACGAAUAAGG